RNAcentral lists this long non-coding RNA (880 nucleotides) under Nicotiana tabacum (common tobacco). RNAcentral describes it as "long non-coding RNA (NTAB_LNC009222)". The record is from RNAcentral. Lineage: Eukaryota; Viridiplantae; Streptophyta; Magnoliopsida; Solanales; Solanaceae.
CAUGAGAAAGACUGUCGCCAAACCCGUCGCAUCUAGCAGCCCAUGGUACGGCCCAGACCGUGUUAAGUACUUGGGUCCAUUCUCCGGUGAGUCCCCAAGCUACUUGACCGGUGAAUUCCCCGGUGAUUACGGGUGGGAUACUGCUGGACUUUCAGCAGACCCAGAAACCUUUGCCAAGAACCGUGAACUCGAGGUGAUCCACUGCAGAUGGGCUAUGCUUGGUGCUCUUGGAUGUGUCUUCCCCGAGCUCUUGGCCCGUAAUGGUGUCAAGUUUGGCGAGGCUGUGUGGUUCAAGGCUGGAUCCCAAAUCUUUAGCGAGGGUGGACUUGACUACUUGGGCAACCCAAGCUUGGUCCAUGCACAAAGCAUCUUGGCCAUCUGGGCUUGCCAAGUUAUCUUGAUGGGAGCCGUUGAGGGUUACCGUGUUGCUGGUGGGCCUCUUGGUGAGGUUGUCGACCCACUCUACCCUGGUGGCAGCUUUGACCCACUGGGCCUCGCUGAGGACCCAGAGGCAUUUGCUGAGCUCAAGGUAAAGGAGAUUAAGAACGGAAGACUUGCCAUGUUCUCUAUGUUCGGAUUCUUUGUUCAGGCCAUUGUUACUGGAAAAGGUCCAUUGGAGAACCUUGCUGACCAUCUUGCAGACCCAGUUAACAACAAUGCUUGGGCAUACGCCACAAACUUUGUCCCCGGAAAGUGAAUCUUAAAACAUUCUCAAAAUUCUGAUUGUUUGAUGGCCUUGUAAAGCUGUCGUGCGUUACCUGAUAAUAUAAUGAGAUUUUGUUUGUGUUUAAAUGACUGUUUAUUUCUGAGUUUCAUACCCAUUAAUCAAACAGCCACAAAAAAAAAAAAAAAAGAACACAGGAAAAAAGGCCUAAUGACC